GCUCUGGUGACCAAGUGGUUAGAGCAUCCGCCUCUGAUGUGGGAGGUCGUGGGUUCGAUCCUCGGUCAAGUCA
Molecule: non-coding RNA, 73 nt
Organism: Potamilus streckersoni
Lineage: Eukaryota; Metazoa; Mollusca; Bivalvia; Unionida; Unionidae
Source: the annotation of a GenBank genome assembly